Molecule: ribosomal RNA, 347 nt
Filed under: uncultured bacterium
Lineage: Bacteria
Description: partial 16S ribosomal RNA
Rfam family: Bacterial small subunit ribosomal RNA
Source: RNAcentral
CCUACGGGUGGCAGCAGUGGGGAAUAUUGGGCAAUGGGCGCAAGCCUGACCCAGCAACGCCGCGUGAAGGAAGAAGGCUUUCGGGUUGUAAACUUCUUUUCUCAGGGACGAAACCAGUGACGGUACCUGAGGAAUAAGCCACGGCUAACUACGUGCCAGCAGCCUCGGUAAUACGUAGGUUGCAAGCGUUAUCCGGAUUUACUGGGUGUAAAGGGCGUGUAGGCGGGGAGGUAAGUCAGAUGUGAAAACCACGGGCUCAACUUGUGGAUUGGAUUUGAAACUGUGUUUCUUGAGUGCAGGAGAGGCAGACGGAAUGCCUGGUGUAGCGGUGAAAUGCGUAGAGAUUA